UAACCCGCCACGCUUAGCGCGUGGGGAGACAGUGUCAGGUGGGCAGUUUGACUGGGGCGGUCGCCUCCUAAAGAGUAACGGAGGCGCCCAAAGGUUCCCUCAGAAUGGAUGGAAAUCAUUCGCAGAGGGGAAAGGCACAAGGGAGCUUGACUGCGAGACCGACAAGUCGAGCAGGGACGAAAGGCGGGCUUAGUGAUCCGGUGGGUCCGCAUGGAAGGGCCA
RNAcentral lists this ribosomal RNA (222 nucleotides) under Listeria monocytogenes. Its description in RNAcentral is "partial 23S ribosomal RNA". It matches the Rfam family "Bacterial large subunit ribosomal RNA", at positions 2223 to 2444 of the family's 2925-position model. The record is from RNAcentral. Lineage: Bacteria; Bacillati; Bacillota; Bacilli; Caryophanales; Listeriaceae.